This is a non-coding RNA of Acanthosepion pharaonis, 112 nucleotides long. The record is from the annotation of a GenBank genome assembly. NCBI's taxonomy places the organism in Eukaryota, Metazoa, Mollusca, Cephalopoda, Sepiida, Sepiidae.
UUACGACCACAUCACGUUGAAACAGCGGUUCCCGUACGAUCACCGAAGUUAAGCAACGUUGAGAUUGGUCGGCAUCUAGAUGAGUGACCGCUCGGGAAUAAAAGUGCCGUAA